This is a long non-coding RNA of Lagopus muta (rock ptarmigan), 3216 nucleotides long. RefSeq lists it as uncharacterized. The transcript is spliced from 4 exons. The record is from RefSeq and is a predicted model, not a curated record. NCBI's taxonomy places the organism in Eukaryota, Metazoa, Chordata, Aves, Galliformes, Phasianidae.
ACAGUGCCUCGAGGGGGGAGAAGUUAAGAGAGGAAAAAGCACUGCCUGGCAGUGAGAAGUGACGGGAAGAAGUGUGAGAAGCAGUGAUGUGAGCUCUAGAGGUCUCAGGAACAAAGAAUUGACCUUCGUUGACUUGAAGCCAAACCGCAGCAAUUAGCAGCUGAAAGCAGGAGGAGAGCUGGGGGCGGACAAGGGAGCCAGCAGUUCAGGUUGGUUAUUUCCUCGGUUAUCUGAAGCAGUUGUCUGCAGUGUUACGAGUGGCCUGUUCAUACUGACUCACUGCAGCAUCACUUGGCCUUUCCAGCUCCCUGGGAUGAAAGCUGCUUGCACGGAAGCAUCAAUGUCAAUGAACACUACUUGGAUGAGACAGCCUCCAGGGUGUUCGUGGUAAUGGCGCAUGUUCUGACUUCAAAAUGGAGGACCGAGUCAGCUAUAUAGCUAGCAAAAUUCCCACUGAUUGGAGUUGCUGCAGGUCGGAUCCCAAAGGCUCUAUGUGACACAUUCCUGAAACGAGCAGCAAUCCUGUUUUCCUCAUGCUGGCUGUGUGGCUACUCACCUGGCAGCCUUUAAUUUGCUACAGCUCAUCUUUUCUAGUUGGAUCUGCAUUCAUCUAGCACACCAAAGUUUUCUGUUCCACGUUGUUUCUGUAAGUGCAGCAAGCCAUAAUCUCAUGGAGUCAUACAUACUCUUUAAGGAACCCCCUACUUAUGCUGCUUCUGUGUUCAACUAGACUCAAGGGUCAGUAGUUUUUUUUUUGCAGCACUAUUUCUUUCUCAUCUCUUACUCUUGCUUCUUUGAACCAGGGCCAAUUUUUCAUUAAGGAGAACUCAGCAGUAGAAAGAACACGUGGCAGCAAAAGCAGAGUGUUUUCUUUCCAUUCCGUAUUGCCACACGAAUUUUUAUUUUGAAAUCUAAACGCAAUGUGUGGCUGUUUUUCAUCUCAAUGAAUUGGUAACUUGCUUCUCUGUAUGUUGUCACCAACAGUCUUGAACUGGGGAAAGGCAAUCUCUCCCAGUACCAGUCCUUUUUAGGCAAGGAUAACAGAAGCCUUAGAUGAAAGAUUGUUAUAUUCUUGUAUUCAGACAGUCUCUCAGGGUGAUUUUCUUUGGAGAAAAAAAAAUCAGUAAAAUUUGUACCUCCAGGAUCCUGACCAAACACUGCAGUUUAUUUCAUGCCUCUAAGUCAGAAGUACAUUAAUCAAAUACUUGCCACAGAAUUUCUAAGUACCUCUUCACUGACUGAUCUGGGCUGUUCCCUGAAUUGAUCACAUGUGUAGAUUAAAUGCAAGACUGAGCAACAGGACGUAAAUUGUCCUUGUGGACUUUUAUUCUUCCCUGUGUGAGGUUGGUGAAUAGCACAUUCUUAAUUGGGGACGUUUCAAGUAACCAAGUGCCUGAUCUGCAGUCAGAGGGACUGGGGAUUGGAGAAGCUCUACAUGUGUGGCCUGAUGAGCACAAGCAAUCCAACUCGGAAGCAAUGCUGCCCAUCUACUGAGGGUGGUUAUUUUCAGCUGAUGAGUGGUUAUGUCUUAAGAUGUGCUAACUUGAUCUCUUGUAAUCAUCUGUGCACAUUUUUACUCUCGUUGGAGGUACAGCGUUGAACAAUUAGUUAAGUCACAAAUCACUUAAAUAUCAGGGAAGGAAUUCUGCUUUCUGCUGCAGGCUUUUUCUUUUGGCUUCUCAGCCCACAGUGCUGUAGACAGAGAACAAGGUGCUCGUUUAGCACUUUCUUAGUGCAAAUGCAACUUCUAGCAUAAGGGGGGAACGUUUCAAAAAGUGGUCUAAAAUCAGACAAAAGGUAUCCAGAAGGAAUAGUGUUAUGGAGAUGCUAAGACACAGCUCACAGACAGAGACUGAAAAAUCUGAACAGGAUGAGUGGUGGUUUCCAAGCAUCUUUUGCUUUGCUUAGGCCUCCUGGAGAACCCCAUCCAAUAAGCAGAUGCUGCCAUGGGAACAGAAAGAAGGAGCCCUUUAAUAUUCAGUGCAUAGAAUAGAUUUGCUAUCAGUGUGCUCUCAGGAUGGUAGUGUUUCUGAGUUAAAAGAUGCAAGUGCAUGGCAUUGCACUUCCCAAUGAAAAGCAGACUUUCCAGAGAUUACAGAUAAAUACCUAGAUAUCCCAGAACAUAAUUUGAGCAAGUUUCAGACUACUGACCAGAAGAAAAUUCAACUCCUGAACACAAAGAUGUGUUUGUAGCUGUGAACACUAUCAGACAGGGUAUCUAGAUUAUGUCAGACAGGCAACUAAAUGUAAAUAAACCUGAAAAAUUAUUUUACAGUAUGAUUGUAGGUGGUAAAAAAUAACAGUCAUGAAGAAUUAUGGUACCAGCCAGGAUUACCUUUAUGUUCCUAAUCUGCUCUCAAGGCUUCUGUUUUGCCUUUGAAAUAAUAAUAAAAAAUGCUACUACCUUAAUACUUCUUACAUGUCAGCUCACACCCCCUUGGGUUAAUACAUUCUGCAGUCUUGUUGUUUACUUCUCAUUAAGCUAAAUGUUUUAUGCAAAUCAUCUGACAUAAAGCCAGACGACCAAUCUAGAAAGGCUGUAAUUCCAUCUGAUGAGUUCAUUCAACUGAAAUCUGUACUUAAUUUCCAUAAUUAUACUACCCUAUUCUCAUAAUGUGAACUGAUUGCUGCAAAAACACAAAAUAACUAAAAUGCAUUCAGAUUUAAAAUAUGAAAAUGAUACGUCCCUUUGGGCACAAGUGUUAUGUUUUACAAACAGUUUCUGUUUUCUUUUUUUUUUUUUCUUUCACAAAAUAUCUCUUUAUUUAAGGCUGUGUCAGCCUAAUUUAAGGACUAUUAAAUUGAUAAGAGCCAUUUGUAAUGCAGUUUUGUCUUGAUAGAGGAAAAAAUGGAAGAAAAGAAAUUUGAGGAAAAAACUACACCAGAGCACUAACAAUUAUAUUAAUGUGUCGUAGUCAGAACCCUGAAGAUUGGUAUCAUCCUUGUCACGCAGCUUAAACUUAGAGCAAACUGACUGCGUUGUUGCUGACAAGUCUAAGUAUCUUCUUAAUUAUGGAAUCGGCCAAAUUAAGUCACUGCGGUACCAAUCAAGCUGUAAAAGAGCUAGCAUAGAGGCUUUUCACAUGGCUUGAAGGAGAUGACAAAGGUCUGAUCUUCCUUUUGGGAAAAUCAUGCCUUUCAAACGUCUUGUUUGAUUGCCCAAGCCUAGAAUGGAAAUCUGUGUUGCUUGCUUUGAGUGGAAUUAAUUGUUGUUGU